This 465-nucleotide ribosomal RNA is filed under the name Vreelandella stevensii. Its description in RNAcentral is "partial 16S ribosomal RNA". It matches the Rfam family "Bacterial small subunit ribosomal RNA", at positions 338 to 795 of the family's 1533-position model. The record is from RNAcentral. Lineage: Bacteria; Pseudomonadati; Pseudomonadota; Gammaproteobacteria; Oceanospirillales; Halomonadaceae.
CCUACGGGAGGCUGCAGUGGGGAAUAUUGGACAAUGGGGGCAACCCUGAUCCAGCCAUGCCGCGUGUGUGAAGAAGGCCCUCGGGUUGUAAAGCACUUUCAGUGAGGAAGAACGCCUGGUGGUUAAUACCCAUCAGGAAAGACAUCACUCACAGAAGAAGCACCGGCUAACUCCGUGCCAGCAGCCGCGGUAAUACGGAGGGUGCGAGCGUUAAUCGGAAUUACUGGGCGUAAAGCGCGCGUAGGUGGCUUGAUAAGCCGGUUGUGAAAGCCCCGGGCUCAACCUGGGAACGGCAUCCGGAACUGUCAAGCUAGAGUGCAGGAGAGGAAGGUAGAAUUCCCGGUGUAGCGGUGAAAUGCGUAGAGAUCGGGAGGAAUACCAGUGGCGAAGGCGACCUUCUGGACUGACACUGACACUGAGGUGCGAAAGCGUGGGUAGCAAACAGGAUUAGAUACCCUGGUAGUC